CCUACGGGAGACAGCAGUGAGGAAUAUUGGUCAAUGGACGAGAGUCUGAACCAGCCAAGUAGCGUGAAGGAUGACUGCCCUAUGGGUUGUAAACUUCUUUUAUAUGGGAAUAAAAUGUUCCACGUGUGGGAUUCUGUAUGUACCAUAUGAAUAAGGAUCGGCUAACUCCGUGCCAGCAGCCGCGGUAAUACGGAGGAUCCGAGCGUUAUCCGGAUUUAUUGGGUUUAAAGGGAGCGUAGGUGGAUUGUUAAGUCAGUUGUGAAAGUUUGCGGCUCAACCGUAAAAUUGCAGUUGAAACUGGCAGUCUUGAGUACAGUAGAGGUGGGCGGAAUUCGUGGUGUAGCGGUGAAAUGCUUAGAUAUCACGAAGAACUCCGAUUGCGAAGGCAGCUCACUGGACUGCAACUGACACUGAGGCUCGAAAGUGUGGGUAUCAAACAGGAUUAGAUACCCCGGUAGUC
This 460-nucleotide ribosomal RNA is filed under the name uncultured bacterium. RNAcentral's name for it is "partial 16S ribosomal RNA". It matches the Rfam family "Bacterial small subunit ribosomal RNA", at positions 338 to 795 of the family's 1533-position model. The record is from RNAcentral.